RNAcentral lists this ribosomal RNA (1375 nucleotides) under uncultured bacterium. RNAcentral describes it as "bacterial SSU rRNA". It matches the Rfam family "Bacterial small subunit ribosomal RNA", at positions 29 to 1393 of the family's 1533-position model. The record is from RNAcentral.
UUGAACGCUGGCGGCAGGCCUAACACAUGCAAGUCGAACGGUAGCACAGAGAGCUUGCUCUUGGGUGACGAGUGGCGGACGGGUGAGUAAUGUCUGGGAAACUGCCCGAUGGAGGGGGAUAACUACUGGAAACGGUAGCUAAUACCGCAUAACGUCUUCGGACCAAAGUGGGGGACCUUCGGGCCUCACACCAUCGGAUGUGCCCAGAUGGGAUUAGCUAGUAGGUGGGGUAAUGGCUCACCUAGGCGACGAUCCCUAGCUGGUCUGAGAGGAUGACCAGCCACACUGGAACUGAGACACGGUCCAGACUCCUACGGGAGGCAGCAGUGGGGAAUAUUGCACAAUGGGCGCAAGCCUGAUGCAGCCAUGCCGCGUGUAUGAAGAAGGCCUUCGGGUUGUAAAGUACUUUCAGCGGGGAGGAAGGCGAUGGAGUUAAUAGCUUCAUCGAUUGACGUUACCCGCAGAAGAAGCACCGGCUAACUCCGUGCCAGCAGCCGCGGUAAUACGGAGGGUGCAAGCGUUAAUCGGAAUUACUGGGCGUAAAGCGCACGCAGGCGGUCUGUCAAGUCGGAUGUGAAAUCCCCGGGCUUAACCUGGGAACUGCAUUCGAAACUGGCAGGCUAGAGUCUUGUAGAGGGGGGUAGAAUUCCAGGUGUAGCGGUGAAAUGCGUAGAGAUCUGGAGGAAUACCGGUGGCGAAAGGCGGCCCCCUGGGACAAAGACUGACGCUCAGGUGCGAAAGCGUGGGGAGCAAACAGGAUUAGAUACCCCUGGUAGUCCACGCCGUAAACGAUGUCGACUUGGAGGUUGUGCCCUUGAGGCGUGGCUUCCGGAGCUAACGCGUUAAGUCGACCGCCUGGGGAGUACGGCCGCAAGGUUAAAACUCAAAUGAAUUGACGGGGGCCCGCACAAGCGGUGGAGCAUGUGGUUUAAUUCGAUGCAACGCGAAGAACCUUACCUACUCUUGACAUCCAGCGAAUUCGGUAGAGAUACCUUAGUGCCUUCGGGAACGCUGAGACAGGUGCUGCAUGGCUGUCGUCAGCUCGUGUUGUGAAAUGUUGGGUUAAGUCCCGCAACGAGCGCAACCCUUAUCCUUUGUUGCCAGCGGUCCGGCCGGGAACUCAAAGGAGACUGCCAGUGAUAAACUGGAGGAAGGUGGGGAUGACGUCAAGUCAUCAUGGCCCUUACGAGUAGGGCUACACACGUGCUACAAUGGCGCAUACAAAGAGAAGCGACCUCGCGAGAGCAAGCGGACCUCAUAAAGUGCGUCGUAGUCCGGAUUGGAGUCUGCAACUCGACUCCAUGAAGUCGGAAUCGCUAGUAAUCGUAGAUCAGAAUGCUACGGUGAAUACGUUCCCGGGCCUUGUACACACCGC